GUUCAGUUCAGCGAUGUGCCGUCCGCCAUUUUCUCCAAAACAAGAAGAACAAGAGAAGGAAAAAACGGGAUAAAAACGAUUAACUGGCAUCAUUAUUCAGAGUUUUCCCCUUUUUCUCCCUCUGUGUGUCUCUUUCCCUGUCUCUCGCUCGCUCGCCUGGCAUCAUUACAAACCCAGGGCUGCAAAGAUCACAUGAUUUCCUACCAGAAAGCCACAGCAUUCCCAGUAAGUAUUCUGCUGACAUUGUGAAGACAUCUUUUGUUUAAAUCAAAACGUUAGCCUCGGCCUGCUUCCCCCCCCUCCCAAAAUCUGGCACCUUCUGGGAGGAGGUGAGGGGGGGGGCGGCGGUGUAAAGGGUGGUGUUAGGAGUCAUGGCAACCUCUAACUGGAAGGCUGCCCAGCACCCCGAGGUGGGGAGAAGUAGGGGCUAAUAUGGUGUUGAGCAGGAAUGCUAAGUGCCUUCCAAAGUCAACUCUAUGGGCGUGCUGGUUGCUUAAGAUUUCAGCUCAGAUGCCAGAAUGUUUUUGACAGAGUGGAGAGAAAAGACUGGACGCAUGACAAACUAACUCAAAGUGAAGCUGCUGAUAUCUUUAGAUAUCUGUAGAGGACCACAGUAAAGCUAAUCCUCUCUGCUUUUUAAGACGAAUUCAUCUGAAGCACGUGAGCCCGUUCAGAAAACACUACAGAACAUGAUUCCUAAAAAACCGAAGACGUCUGUUUUUUAAAGUACUCGGUUGGAGACUAAAAACAAGGGAGUACUCAAAGACUCAAACAACUUGUAUAAAGUUGGGUUACUAAUAAAGCACAAAAUGACAUCAAAGUUAUUUACCUCUGCAGUGAACAAAUAUGGCAGACAUCAUAUGAAUCCUAUAAAAACAAGAAUCCAUGCAGAAAUACCUCUUUUCAAAUAGAUCUGAUUAGAUUAAAAAAACAACUGAUUUGCAAGACUUGUUUAUUUGGCAAAAGAAAGCUGAGGGUUUUGUAUUUCUUAAUGUGGUCUGUGCACUUUUUUAAUGAAACUUUUGAUGUUGUUUAAAGAUUUUUUUUUUUUUUAACUUAUCAAAAACCCUUUGCUCAUUAUAACAGGAAUAUUUAAAAAUCUGAAACAAGUUCAAGGCCCAAAUAACUUUCCUUUUUUGUUGCAUAUAUUUGAUAAAUUUCUAUUGUACUGAUUUUUUGGGGGGUUUACCAUCUUGAGAAAUAACUGUCCGACAUCAUGUUUCUUUGCUGUUUUCUCGAAAAGCCGAAGCAUUACUCUGCCGCAGAUGUUGGCUAACUUCCUUUCUUUGUGCAACUUUGUUCUCCGUGUCACUCCACCUUUUAUCCUCCCGGCACUGACAGCUUACUUCAGUCGUGAGAGGUACAACUGCUUUACAGAUGAGCAGUGUUGUCUGUUAAGAAUAUUUACAUUUUAUUACUAAACUCCAACUAUAAAACAAAAGUUAGACAAAGACAAAAUGCAUGCUUCACUUGGGUCAACAUGGUAUAUACACCAGCUAGCCUUAACAUUUAGAACAGUUCGGCGAUUUCAUGCAAUCCAAUCCAAUCCAAAAUAGAUCUAUCACCAGUUCGACUUCAGGAGGCUUCUAAAUUUUCAGUUUCCAUGAUCUGAUCUUUUUGGCAUAGCUCGUAUGGACGUAAAAGAUAUCCUGUUGAGUAUGCAAAGUUACAAUCAGAAAUGGCAUCACAGUCAACAACAAGAAAAGGACAGAACAAUGGAUAGCCUAACCCUAACUCAGAUUUAAAAACCAGAAUCUGAGAUUAAAUUCUCAAGUAUCAACAAUAACAGACUUGUCAUUCCAUGCUGAUUACUGUAAGACUUGAGUCAGAACAGUAAGCGGACACAGUCAGGUGGUUUGUUACAAUAACACGGGCACAUGCCGCGGACCUAUGACUCACCAAAGAGCAAGGUAUCCACCAGAGACAAGAUUAAAGUUUGCCCUGAGAGCCUCACAUACGCUGGCUCUCUCACUCAAUUCAACAUCAAAAUGCAGAGCAUCUGCCGCACUCACACAACUCUGGAUAUGAUUAAAAACAGAAAUGCUGUUUGUUAUUAAAGAAGGAAGACUAUGGCAAGUGCUGAUUUGUAUUCAUGCUGCUAUGAUAAUUAUUUUUUGCUUUUUAACUCUUUGUUUCCAUACUGUCUCUGCUCUUAACAGCUAAUAAAUCCAUGAUUAUCUAUUCCACUUUUUUUUUUCUUUUGUUUCACUGCAAUCGUAGAAUAACAGCUUUAAUGUAUUUGACCAAUUAACAACCACUGAAAUUCCAAUGAGCAAGUGUUGAGACAGAGAGGAGGGUAGCUCAGUAGACUACACACAUGAACCACAUAUGGGAAGAUUUACUGUGAGACAGAACAAGCAGCCGCUAUACUUAAGAUAUUCCUUGUGUACAUCUGAGCAGCUUUAUUUCAUAUUUAGUGUUUGUUUAGUGAGUACCGAUGACGAUAACAGAGGGUACGAUUUUGGAGUCACUGCGGGAAAAGCCAAUUGGAAACAGAUUGUUGUGUAUGUUCUGGCAGCCCGGUAAGAAUAAUAAAUUUAAAAAAAAAAAAACAGAGGGACUGUUAAGGAGAAUAAUAAUAAAGUGGAAAAACCAUAUAUUAUUUUAUAGAGAGGACUGCCAGCUUUUCAGUGUUGAUUGCAACGUUAAAUUCGUCCAAAGGUAACGCCUACAUUUUUUUUUAACCUUGUGUUUAUUCUGUCCCAUUUAGCACAUGGUUAAGCUGCCAUAUUGUCCUGCUGCCAACAAAAUGUGAAAUACAAACACCAUUAGACCUUCGAAUGGCAUGUCAUCUCUCAAAACACUCCAAGACAGCUGAGUAGACAAGUCAAGAGUAAUAUUGUCUAAGUACUUUUAAAUUUAAGCUACCACCAACGAGCUAAGCAUACAGGUGCAGCAAGCAACAGCAUCACAAAAAACAGUAGAGCACUAUUUUUUAACGUGUGAAAAGCUAAAAGACGUUCACACAUUUAGGACUUGUAUGAUGCAGCAAAAGCAACCAAACUGGAACUCCUGAAAACUACAUUAACCGGGGAUCUCUAGACCUCAGUGAAUAAUCAAACUUUCAAACAUAUUGAAACUGAUUUUGUACAUACACUCCUACCCUUUAAAAGAUGCUCUGAAUUAUUUUGCUGUUGCACACGGAUGCAGAAGUACAUCAUUUAUUUGAGUAACAAAUCUAAUUUCAGGAUCAUAAAGAUUAUUUCGUUCAAUUAAUUUGAAUCCCAAACCAUUGCACUGAUAGGAAUUACUUUUCAUUGUUAGCAUGGACUCAAAAAGUGGUUCAAAAUGCAAAUUAAUGGAAAUUCUAACCUUGGACUAUCUCUGAAAUUCUGCGAUUAAUUAUGACUGAAAAAAUUAAUCAUUCAUGAAAUCUUUGAUGAAAACCAAAAGUUAAACACUAACCAGUAAAAUGUCCCAGACAAGCUGAGGAAGAAGAUACUUCUUUCCCCCGAUGGUUUGUGCACCGUAGCAGAUUUUUCAGACCAUACAGUGGCGACUGUGGUAGUAAAUUAUGUAUUUUUUUGUUUUAGUUUGAUUCUGUAGCAGUGGUGUUGGAUGCACUUGUGUGUAUGUGGCUCACUCUCUCUCUCUCCCUAGAUAGGUGCAAAAAACUCUUGUUAGCCGAUUGGACGAUCUGAUCAAAUAUGGAUCAAAGGUAUGUCUCCCGCUCAGCAGGUGAUAGGCUGGGUUCGGGGUUUUCCCUUUAUCAGCUGCAAGAUGACAUCAGAGACAUGGCACAGGGAUCCCAUUUCCUUUCUCCCCCGACUGGCCAUGCAGCCUUUUGUGAUAGUGUUUGUUGGAUUUUGGUGUUGGUUCUUCUAGGGGUGAAUUGCCAGUUUUUCUAAUAUCCUCUUCUCAUCUUUUGAACUGCUUUACCUCUCAGUCAGAAUCGUUUAUUUGAUAUUUCUGGGCUUUAAUUCACUCUGAAGCUCAUUAAAUUUAGUUCUUUUUUUAUUGUUAAUUAUCACAACUUUUUGAAUAAAUAUUCUUGUGAAUUCACUUUAUAUGUUGAUGGUUGAAAUAAAAACUUAAAAGUCCUGUACCUCUGGAUUGUACUCUAGAGGUGUGUGAGCACAACCCCCAGGAAAGUCUAGUCCAGUUUAAGAAAAUAAAUUUAAGAAAAAAAAUGUAUUUUCAACCACAACAACAUCACGUAAACAUACUAACAGUGACUGUCUACUAUCCAAACAAAGAAAAAGCUUUUUUCAUCUUCAUUGUGCUUAAUGAUUGGCACAAGGACAGCAACUAAGGGGUACAUAUUUGGUUAUAUCGCUUUUAUUAAAUCAUCAUAUUACUUUGAAACAUCAACAUUACACUGAGGCAUACUCAUUAAGUUUCUCUGAGCCUCAGCCUGCUGAUAAUUUGCUAGCUUUGACUAACACUGUGGUUGUAACCUGGUAAUUCUGCUCAUAUUUGAUACCACAUUUUAGAACUGGAGCCAUUUCAAAUACUAGUGUCAGUACUGGAACAACUCUAAAGGAAAGAAAUCACAUUUUUAAUGCAGGCUGCAUCAGCAGAUGUUUGAUAUAUUUGAUUUAAAAAAAUGACAGAAAAGAUAAAUUGACCAUAAAUAUAGUUGGCCAUAAAUUUUCCUUCCACCAAAAACAGAUAAAUCAGCCAAUCAUUACAGCUGUAAGUGGCAUAUGUGUUUAUUGGGGGUUCUGACUGGCUGAGAAGAUGAUUAACCUCAAAGUCCCGGAUGUACUUCAUGGAGACAAACCUCACUUUUAUUCUACUCAAGCUAUACGUAAGUAAAUAAUUAUCUUAGACACCUUCUUGUCAUCUACCAACACAUGAAUUCUUGUUUCAUGGUUAAAAUGAAGCCUUGGGAUGUCUUUAAAAAGCGGCUUAGCUCCUCACCAUUAAACAAAGUCAGCUAACACAGAUCCAAAACAUCCUCCUGCUGGGAGGGUCAUUUCAUAUCCUGGAAGGCAGGAGGCCAGGGUCAAAGUUCAAAUGAGAAUGGGGGCGGUGGAGGACUUCCCUUGGGGAUAUACCAUUGCAAACCAGACAGGGGUGGUGGAAUCAGACAGACCACUCAACUUGGUAAUACAUACGAUGGUGAAAAAUCUAUAGUGAGUGGGGGAAGGGGGGAUAGAGGUAGACACAAAAACACACUGGAUGUGCACCCAUAAGAAGGAGAUUCACCAUCCCAGCUAUCUGAGAAACAAAAACAACAGCACAGCACUGCAAUAACAAAAAAUCAGUGAUGGACCAAAACAACUAUCUAAUAUACCACAGUGACAAAACGUGAACACUUGGGCAAGGAUUCAGUCUUUUCUCACAACAAGGACACACACUAUUAGAAAAAAAUCAAAGACACCAUACAAACAUGCUUAGAUUUAACACAGCUGUAAAACCACAGAGGACAGUAUGUAAGACCCGUCACUACAUCCGGUAUUAAGCUCCAAAUUUAAUUUAAGGAUUGACUACUGGACAAAAGGGUCCUUCAGUCUAACCUUAUUAACUCAUCAGAGACAAUGCUGUUGGACAGUCUUUACAUAUUAUUAUUAAAGGGAUAAUUCAUAGAAUUGCCCAAGCAACUGACCCACAGAGUUUUUAUUUAUAGUUGGACAUACCCUUAAACAAUGAAAAACAAAACAAACAACAAAAACAGUCACAACAGACUGAAACCACAGAAUGAAAAAAAAUAUGUUUUAAGGAUUAUAGUAUACAACCAAAAUAUAAAACAGGCUAUUGUUCAUUAAGAUACGUCUCAAAAUAUGGUGGGAUUGUCUUAUUUGUUAGGUAAAGCAAUCAAAUGCAGACAUUUAUUUCAAAGUGCAAAGUGUGUGUACCUCUCAUGACAUAGACCAGGUAUCACUAACACUCGCUGCUACAAUAGGGUUGAAAGAUGGGAAGACACAGUGAAGAACGGUGCACACAGAAAAAGUCACCCAAAAAUAAAAAUAGAGUUCUAAUGCUUUUCUUCAGACAAUGAUCAUAAAUGCAGUGAAAACAUUGAACUACCAUACAGCCAAGAAAUAUGGAGUCUGAGCAAAAUGAUGGUGAGCCUGAAAACAUCCUCCUAAAAUGUGUGUUUGAGAAUGUAACUAAAAAGUGGAUAAAAGGUAUGACAAUUAACAAACCAGUCAUAUAUCCACUAGACUGCAGGCUGGUUCAGUUAUCACAAUACAAUACUGAUAUAUGCUGACUUCUACUCUCUAAAGGAAAGAUGUGACUCUCAUGUCUAGCCAUUAAGAAAUUGUAGUAUUUAAUUUCAGUAUUUACUUAAAUCAUCUUGAAUAAGUGGUUUAAAUGGGUUAAUUUCAGCUGGUAACAGCUUAUGUCAGUAAGUGAAACAGGUCAUAUUCCUUUUUGUUUUUUAUUCAACUAAAAUAUGAUCAUUCAGUAUAAAUGUUUAUAAGGUAAAAGAUUUAUCAUUUGCAACACUUAAAAUGAUUUUCUUUGUAAGACAAGUGAUCAGCACAUGAAAAAUAUUUUUUCUAAAAUCUAGACUUAAAAGGGUUGACCGACAGCAACAUGUUUUUUUUAAAAAUUUUCAGAUGUCUUCUCAAACUACAUGCUGUAUUAAUCAGGAGGUGUUUAAAAAAUUUAUUUUUAGUCUCACACAUUCAACACAGGAUGUUGUCAUUACCAAAACAGAUCAAACCAGCAGCCAAAACUCAGAAAUGAAGAUAAUUUGCGGUGUUUCUUCUCCACAGGCACACCACAGACAGCGUGUUAUUUUAGGCUGAGCACUUUUAUUUCCAUUAAUUUAAUGUUGCCUCAAGCUGUGACAGGAAACAGUCAACAGGUUAAUGUGCUCUGAAGUUUCAACAGUUCAGUUUAAUGACAGACGUGCUAACACAGCCACUUCACAGAGCUGGAGAGCGUGACUCGAUUUGCCAAGAAUAGAAGAAAAGAGCAUGCAAAGAAUGUUUUGGAUAACAUCUCUGUCCUGAGGUACUAUGCAUAUUCAGCAAAAAAAAAAAAAAAAAAAAAAACACAGACACUGAUUGACCAUGAGAGAGAAAGCUGAAGCUGCAUACAGAUUUCCCCUGCAGAGAAGCUGAGCCUCUCUGUGCCCUCAUCUGGCCCCUCUCUCUGGGUGUCCCUCUCUCUGUUCAGCCACUUGAAACAGUGCUGACAAAGAAAAAUAAUUCCUUAGGAUACCAACAUUUGUUAACAUAGAUGGCUAGAUGCAAAAACUCGAUAUAAGAACAUUGGCACAUUCCAGGUUAUGCAUUUUUUAGUACCUGCAAAAUGAAUUUGGAAGACUUUUAUGAGCCCUCUGUGUGCACGAGUACAAAUGUACAGCCACCUGUGUGCAAACAUUACAAAGGAUGCAGCUCAACUGGUGCAAAAGUCAAAAUGUCUUUUUCCUAUAGCAUAUUUCAAAACCAGAGUUCUGCUUCUGAUUGUCUUUGCUUCAAAUUUGACUCGCUUAUGUGCUCAAAUGUUGACUAAAUAGCUCAGGGUGACAGCAAUAAUGUUUUGCGACUACUAACCGAGGGUGUAAUGUUGCUUUAAACAGCAAACAGAGCUUUUCCAAGCAGCCAGUCAGGGCGAUGACUUUGCCUGACCCACCUGUCUGUUGAUCCUGCUGCCUAGCACCAGACUAAACACUGACAUUUUUACUAAGGCUUAUUGGCUGCAGCUGACUAACCACCAGCCAAUCAGCAUGCAGGAAGGGAUGGUUGGAGGCUGAGGAACAGACUGUGAGAUUGGAGGGGAGAGGAAGAGGCUGUGCAGAGACAACCAAACCUCAUGCAAACUCCCAACGAGAAAGCACCAAGCACGAAGAAAAAAAAUCUGCACCAAAGUGUUGUUUUUUUUUCCCUGCUGCGUCUUUCUGGGUCACACUCUGCAUCCUAAAUUAACGGCACUUUGUGAAAGAAGUAUGUGCAGUUUUUGCCAGGGUAUCUAAUGCUGAUCCAUAACAAUAACAAAGUAAAGGGCGUCUGUUUCUGAAAGGCACAGAAUUGAUAAGCUGGUCUCAGAUGAGGCUGCCAUCAGACCGUGCUUUUACCGUCGCAAGAGGAGAUCAAUACUUAAUGAAUUCCAAACGGCGGAGUUUCAGAAACAUAAAUGUAUCCUACACUCGAGUGCAUAAAGUAACCCCUGCGGAUCGAUGAAUAUGACAUUACACACAGCCAGAGGAAUGCAUCUUCUUAAUUGACCUGAGCAUUUUCAAAUUAAUUCAAACGACGAUUAAAAUGGAUCGGACUGUGCCGCACCUUCGUCCUGGAAUCUCUCUGAGCGUUUUACUGUGUGUGUGACUCACCCCGUGACCUCGGCCUUGUGUUUUAAUUACCGCUGUCUGCUAUCAGGCAGCUCAGACGAUACCACAAAAAACAACAGAAGAAUGAAAGGCUUGGUUUAGCAUUUACAUAGAGAUGGAAUUAGCUUUAUACACUGAUAAGGGGAGCACUGUCCUCUAAUCAAAUGUAAUUAAAAAGUACACAGUUGCUGUACAGAAAUGUUUCUGAGCCAAAGAUGCUGGAAAAACUGUUUGUUUUAUAAAUAUGGAUGCCCAAAGGAAACGCCUACGUGGCUACACUCCCUGGAGUAGGAAGUGGUUGUUACAGAAUGCUUUAAUAUUAUAAUUUGCAGUGUUAACACCUCAGACAAUCACAAAGAGAGGACAACUUCCUAAUUUGUCUUUUAUAGUAUUUACCUGAUUUCACUAUGUUGAUAAAAAGUCAAGUGAAGAGGAGUUAUUCCGAGUGUUUUUUUGUUGGCAUGUGGUAUUAUUUAUAGUUUUGAUUUUCAGAUUUCUCUGUGAAUAAUGAUGUGUUGCAGCCAACAUAUUUGGUUAUGUUUUUUGUUUCAUAAUUUGACCAUCAUGUACUUUGAUGCUUUGACAAAAAUGCUGCAGAAACUUUUGGUUUAGAUCAAAUAAAAUUGAAUUGGCAGGGUUUUCUUGCACAUAAAAGUCAGAGGCAGCACCCUCAGUCUAAAUGACUUACCACCUCAGGUGUUUUCAUGAGGAGCUGAUUUUUUUCAGACAGUGCUCAGUAAAUUUGCCAUUUUUACAGCAACUGCGCCUUACAAUGGUGUAGAGGCCACGCUGUUUCAGAAAAGAUGCUGUUAAAAGGAUAAGUGACAAGUUUUCUGCGGAGCUCUUCUUUGCUUUUAGCUAACGGCGAGGAUGUCUCUACCCAUAAACAAAACUUCUCUCAUAGUUUGUCUGUCUCUCUCUUUCUCUUCGGCACCAUCAAUCAGACCUGUAUUGAUUAAAACUCAACGCCCUCACGUCUUGGUUAGAGCAUGUUACAUCUUGGCUAUACUGAAAGGCUCCAACAUGUAUAUUUUAGAAGUAUACCAAUUACUUACAAAAAGGAUAAAGACAAAAUAUUGUUUCAUGGCAAGUUGGUGGAUUAAUUCCUGAAGGAUAACCCCCAGACCAAUAGACUAAAUAUUUCUUAAUGAUUUUGCCGCUAGAUGUGAAUUAACACAUUAUGUUGUAUUAAAUCAAGCUUUCAUGUAAGUUUGUUUUUACUGUGAAUGUACAAUUACGUAUUACUACUGUUUAAAUAUAUUGCAUCUAUGAGUUCGGUUACACAAGUAUGCUGGAGUAUGCACAUAGUAUCUCUUUAGCCCCAUUUUGAGCCAGGAAACACUCUGGUUAGGUCAAUGUUAUGAUGUUACUCAUACCGUCUGCCAUUUGAGGAGAUAAUUGAGCUGGAAACAGACAAUUGCUCUCGACAUUAUCAUCAAAACAAAACAAUUUAAACAGAGGCUAAAUCAGACCAGAGUAUGAUUGUUAUUAGUUAAUUUUUAAAUAUACAAGAUGACGAUAAAACUAGGAGAGGAUAAGUGCAGGUGAGGGGCUCAUAAACACAACUCGCUCAAUUAGCUUCACCCACGAAUCAAGGUUAAAACAUUACUUAUUCAAAGAAACCCUGUAAUGAUGUUUCAUUAUGGCAAACAAAUAUGAUAGAAGAAUAUAAAAAGUUCAAAACAAGCCUUUUGUGAGGAAACCUCAACAAAGGUUAUUUGAGGAAACACUGCUGUGUUUUCCCCACAUCAAACCAGGAGACUGUUAUCAGCUUCUCCUGGCUAUAAGAUCUCAGCGACAGGUGUGUCAGUUUCAAAGAAAGUCAGACCAUUAGACAGCACAAAUAAUUUUCAACAGGCUAUCUCUAGAGCAGCGCCCCGUAAUCGACUACAUUAAGGAUGACUCCUCAUUUAGGAGGCAGAGCAGGCAGUUAUCAUAAUGAUACCUUUUCUCUGCGUGUCCUCACCAAAUGCUUCUCCAAAGAUAAUCCCUCUGCACAACCUCUCAUUAUCAAAGCAAUCUCCAGACAAUGGCGAGAAGAACACUGGAAACGACGUGAAUUAGUGUAGGACUAUGGAAAUGAUUGCAGAUUCAAGACUUUAAUUAGGCUCUUGCAAAAACAAUCAGACACAAUUAGGUGGGACCAGUCAAUAAGUUCAACUCAUAAGCAAGAGCAGAUGAAUUAAUGUUUGAUGAUUCUUAAAUGGCUAUGUGAGCUCAGAUGCCUUUCACUCACAGUUGGAUGCUUGAUGGUGGAAAGAGUCCACAGCUCAUAUUGUGGCUAAUAAAAUAGAUGACUUGCAGGUAAAUCAGCAGGUGCAUCAGCUCUGCCUUCCAAUGAAAACAGCCAUUAGUUUGUAAUUGACUUUCUGAGCACUGUCUGAGUGGGUCCAGAAACGCACUCUGAAUUUAUAAGACACCCACAGAGCCUCUUUCCAGCUUCAUUGAGGUCAAAGAAAAACUUAAACGCGAUAUUUUUUUAACUUCUACAGGAGAGGUCUGUCAAAUUAUGUCAAAACUUAAUGAGCAAGAUUUGUUGUUCAGUCUUCUUAAAGCUACUGUGAGAAACUUAUGUUUUGCAGUUUUUGGCAGCCCCCUGGGGACAGCGAAAGACCACAGUUGGCUUCUGCCAGUGGUUUUGGACUUUAAAGAAGGGGUAUUAUUUUCAUGUUCAGUCUUUAGAUUGUCUUCCUUCUGGUGUUAUUCAGAGAUUUACACAAGAACACAAGUCUGUACUUAUCUCAGACUGGUGUUCUUCUUAAACUCUUCUUUUCAGCUACUGCCUCUUUAAGCACAAAAAAACACUCUGGAAGCUUCCUCCGUUGUUGCCAUGGUACAACGUUGAUGAUAUUAAGCUAACAAGGGUUCCGCUAUUUAAACUGACUGUAUGAGCAGACGUUUUAAACCCCACAUCGACCCCUGGGACUACACAAACACAUAUGUACCUCACAUUUUGAUCAGUCCUUAUAAAAUAGCAAUACUCCACUUUAUGCUGAUGGUCCAGUUUAUUUUUGUAGGAAAUGAAGCAAUGUCAAUAAUAACAUAAGUCUGUUUCAUAACAAGCAAAAAACUUUUCAUGGGAGCUUUAAAUACAACAAAUAUUAUUUAUUAUUUUGACAAACACAUUUCAGUAGACAGUUAAUCAAAGUCAUGUCAAAGUAGAGAACAAACCCUCAUCUUUUUGGGUUGAUGAGACACAGAGUUAAAACUAUAAAUAAGAUUAAAUCAUUUGGAAUAUGUUCUUUUUUAAUAUUUUUCCCAAACUUCACCUGAUUGAUAGUUGCUUAAAUCCUCACACCAUUUUAAACGCUAGUAUUGACAGGGGCUGAAAUUAAGUAUGUCAAAUCAGCUGCGCCUGUAAGUCGCUAAACACCUUAGUAAAGUACACAUGAAUGUAAAUGAACUAGUGUUGGCUAAGCAAGCUAUUCUGUGAUUUUCUGACUGAUAGACCUACGACACAAACGUAUUAGCAUCAUAGGCUAAUGGUUAAUAAACAAAUAAGCUCCGGGGUGUUGGUGCUAAAGGUGUAUAUGCAAAGCGGUAGUGCUACCAUGGAAUGAGAAUUAAACUUCACAGAGAUUGCUUUGAACGUGUUUCGCUGGUUUAUUGUCGGUAAAAUGUUCCAAAACUUUAGAAACUUUGGGUCGGAGUUUUCAAGCCUUUUCGUCUGUUUGUUUUGCUCAUAACUCAUGCGUUCUUCUUCUGUUUCCUUGUGGGAUGUAAACAGAGAGCAAUACUGCCCACAGCACCUACUGUAGUGCACCGCAGUCACAGACAAGCAUGAGGUGGCUAGUGUGUGAUUUACAGCAACAAUAACAAGAUGAGUUGACCCUCAAAUUUUCCACAUCAACAAAUUUUUGUAGUCGACUUAAUUGACUAUGUCGACUACACUGUGUCCCAAAAGUUCAUGCACCAAAAUGGACAACAAUUUUGUCUGUUUGGCUCCAUAACGAGUUGCACCUGGUCAUCCAGGUGUUGUGAGGUUGUUUAAUUAGUUCACCUGGUUGUAAUAGGCCUAUAAAUUUCUUGGUCAACCAUGGAGCAUGCCACUACAGUGUUAUUAAUAAUUAUCAAUGACCAAUAAUCAAUUUGCAGCUCAAUAAAAAAUAAAUAAUAUUGUACUUUCUGUUUAAUGAGUAUAGAUUAUAUGAAGCAGACCUGUCCGUGUAGUUCUCUUUUAAUCCCGCUGAAUGUCAGGUUAAUAUUUGUAAAGACUCAACAAUCUUUUGCUACUUAAAAUACAGAGCUGCAGUGUCUAUAUUGGGUUACUGAUCUAUGUUGCCACCGUCUUUUUGAAAACUAAAACCGCAGACACAGACAGACAUGCUGCAAACAUCAGUGGGACUGACAUCUGUGUAACUCUGUAUCAUGUAGUGGAUUUAUUGUGCUAGGCCUCUGUGAUCUCUAGCACACAACCAGAUCCAUAUGACACAUGUAGACCAACAGUAGACUCUAUGGUUCAUGAGGAUAUGUGGGACAGAUCGGGGCUAACAGCAUGAAAUCACAUGCAGCUGGACGAGACAAUAAGGUCAGACAUCCGUCCAAUGUUCAUGUUCAAUCAUUCAGAAUUAAACCAUUUGUCUUAAGUUAUUACUCCUUCAGUGAAUUUAGACAAAAGCCUGAACUAUCUUUGCACAGCCUAAAGGCAUGUUUGUUUGAGAGGACGGAGGUGAUAUACAUGACAACAUGUGGCUGCUCUCAGCCCACAACCAGGUCUUCUGACAGAGCACAUGUCAGUCAGUGGUGAGUGCAGGCAGAGAAGCGGGACAGGACAGAGUGGGAUUAUAAAGCAGCCUGGUGUUUCCACUGGGGUCUCCCCUGCUGGGCUACAUGGUCCCAGCUCCCUUUGUCUGCCGUUAACCCGUUAAAUCCCGUGGAAGGGCCCAUUCACAAAUGUGUCACACACCCCGGGGGGGCAUUUUGUGAGGAAUAAUGAUCUUAAAGGGGUUACAUAGCGUUGCCACUGAUUCCAAAGCCCCCCUCCCGUCUCCCCCCUACACACACAUUCAUUUGUUUCACAGGGUGUUUGCGGAUUCAGUGAUUGUCCACUGUUGUCCUAAGUUCUCACAAACACCUUUAGAGACUUUCUAAAGGAGGAUCUCCCAGUGAAGUCAAUCCACACUGACACAGUCAUUGUUGAACAGACUCCUCCAACAAACCUCCAGAGUAGAAGGGAUGACAGAAAAUGUUUCUGCAACAAACCAAGAUCCUUUGUUGGAUGCAAG
Molecule: long non-coding RNA, 13452 nt
Filed under: Xyrichtys novacula (pearly razorfish)
Lineage: Eukaryota; Metazoa; Chordata; Actinopteri; Labriformes; Labridae
Source: RNAcentral